AAGUCGUAACAAGGUUUCCGUAGGUGAACCUGCGGAAGGAUCAUUAACACGUAUCCAACGUUAAACAACCCUGUGAACUUUCAGCGCUCUUGUAGCCCCGGAGGAACAGCAAUCCCGGUAAAUCAAAUGGCGGAAAGAGUUUUGAUUCGGGACCUCUGUCCAAAAGGUAUCAAGUUACAAUCGAGCAGAGCAGUGGCAUGGUUUCCCUAAGCAGUGCAGAAGGAUCCACUGAGUAAGGAUAACGCAUCACACAGGGCUUUACGCCCCUUCAUUCACCCCUUGCCUAAUCAAGCCUCGCGGAAACGCCGGGCAUAAAAACCGAACAACUGUUAACAAUGGAUAUCUUGGUUCUC
RNAcentral lists this unclassified non-coding RNA (353 nucleotides) under fungal sp. RNAcentral describes it as "partial internal transcribed spacer region". The stretch from base 1 to 46 matches the Rfam family "Eukaryotic small subunit ribosomal RNA", at positions 1786 to 1831 of the family's 1831-position model. The record is from RNAcentral. Lineage: Eukaryota; Fungi.